RNAcentral lists this ribosomal RNA (1969 nucleotides) under human gut metagenome. RNAcentral describes it as "bacterial LSU rRNA". It matches the Rfam family "Bacterial large subunit ribosomal RNA", at positions 1 to 1991 of the family's 2925-position model. The record is from RNAcentral.
GAAAGUAAGCAAGGGCAGACGGUGGAUGCCUUGGCUCUCGGAGGCGAUGAAGGACGUGAUAAGCUGCGAAAAGCCCGGGGGAGGCGCAAAUAGCCGUUGAUCCCGGGAUAUCCGAAUGGGGCAACCCGGCAGGCUGAAGGCCUGUCAUCCCGAAAGGGAGGCGAACGUGGGGAACUGAAACAUCUAAGUACCCAUAGGAGGAGAAAAUAAACAAUGAUUCCGUAAGUAGUGGCGAGCGAACACGGAAGAGCCCAAACCCAUGUCGUCUAGGCGACACGGGGGUUGUAGGACCACGACGUGGCAAGAAGGAAGGGAAAUGGAACGCCUUGGAAAAGUCGGCCAUAGACGGUGAAAGCCCGGUACAUGACUCCCUUACGAAGCCUAGUGGUAUCCUGAGUAGCGCGGGGCACGAGAAAUCUUGCGUGAAGCAGCGGGGCCCAUCCCGUAAGGCUAAAUACUCCCGAGAGACCGAUAGCGAACCAGUACCGUGAGGGAAAGGUGAAAAGAACCCCGAGCAGGGGAGUGAAAUAGACCCUGAACCCGUCUGCCUACAAGCGGUCGGAGCGUCGUAAUGACGUGACGGCGUGCCUUUUGCAUAAUGAACCUACGAGUUACCUUCCCCGGCAAGGUUAAGUUCUUGAGGAACGGAGCCGAAGCGAAAGCGAGUCUGAACAGGGCGCCAAGUCGGGGGGGGUAGACGCGAAACCGAGUGAUCUACCCUUGGCCAGGUUGAAGGUUGGGUAACACCAACUGGAGGACCGGAUGGGUAAGCGUUGAAAAGCUUUCCAAUGAGCUGAGGGUAGGGGUGAAAGGCUAAUCAAACUCGGAGAUAGCUCGUACUCCCCGAAAUGCAUUUAGGUGCAGCCUCUUUAUAGUAUAUCGUGAGGUAGAGCGACUGAUUGGAUGCGAGGGCUUCACCGCCUAUCAAGUCCAGAUAAACUCCGAAUGCGCGAUAUAUAUUUACAGGGAGUGAGGGCGCGGGUGCUAAGGUCCGUGUCCGAGAGGAGAAGAAUCCAGACCACCGGCUAAGGCCCCCAAAUGAUCGUUAAGUUGAACUAACGAGGUCGGAUCGCAGAGACAGCUAGGAUGUUGGCUUGGAAGCAGCCAUUCAUUUAAAGAGUGCGUAACAGCUCACUAGUCGAGCGAUCUGGCGUGGAUAAUAAUCGGGCAUAAACGAUCUGCCGAAGCCGUGGAUGUCGCAAGACAUGGUAGGGGAGCAUUCCAUGCCGCGUCGAAGAUGAGGGAUGACCCUUGUUGGAGCGCAUGGAAAAGCAAAUGUAGGUAUGAGUAACGAUAAGGGGGGCGAGAAACCCCCCCGCCGAAAGACCAAGGUUUCCUGAUCAACGCUAAUCGGAUCAGGGUGAGUCGGGACCUAAGGCAAAGCCGAACGGCGCCGCCGAUGGAAGAAUGGGUUAAUAUUCCCAUACUGCCUCAUGGAGUGACGUGGAGACGGAGAAGUGACAGUCCUGCCGGCUGACGGAAUAGCCGGUUGAAGGGUGUAGAUAUUGAUUCCCGUAGGCAAAUCCGCGGGGAGAGUCGAACCUGAGAGUAUACGGAGCGCUUGCGCAACGUAAUAUGGACGUAACCAUGCUCCCGAGAAAAUCCGCUAAACUUAUCCAUGCGGCACCCGUACCGUAAACGGACACACGUGGUCGGGUUGAGAAUACUGAGGCGCUCGAGUGAUUCACGGUUAAGGAACUAGGCAAAUUGACCCUGUAACUUCGGGAUAAAGGGUCCUCGUCGUAAGGCGAGGCGCAGAGAAUAGGUCCAGGCAACUGUUUAACAAAAACACAUGGCUGUGCUAAAUGGAAACAUGAUGUAUACAGCCUGACACCUGCCCGGUGCCGGAAGGUUAAGAGGAGAUGUCAUCCGCGAGGAGAAGCGUUGAAUUGAAGCCCCGGUAAACGGCGGCCGUAACUAUAACGGUCCUAAGGUAGCGAAAUUCCUUGUCGGGUAAGUUCCGACCUGC